GCCCACGUAGCUCAGUUGGUAGAGCAUUUCCAUGGUAAGGAAAAGGUCAGCAGUUCAAACCUGCUCGUGGGCU
This 73-nucleotide transfer RNA is filed under the name Candidatus Moraniibacteriota bacterium. RNAcentral's name for it is "Candidatus Moranbacteria bacterium tRNA-Thr". It matches the Rfam family "tRNA". From Rfam's summary of the family: Transfer RNA (tRNA) molecules are approximately 80 nucleotides in length. Their secondary structure includes four short double-helical elements and three loops (D, anti-codon, and T loops). Lineage: Bacteria; Candidatus Moraniibacteriota. The record is from RNAcentral.